RNAcentral lists this ribosomal RNA (434 nucleotides) under uncultured Lachnospiraceae bacterium. RNAcentral's name for it is "partial 16S ribosomal RNA". It matches the Rfam family "Bacterial small subunit ribosomal RNA", at positions 341 to 792 of the family's 1533-position model. Lineage: Bacteria; Bacillati; Bacillota; Clostridia; Lachnospirales; Lachnospiraceae. The record is from RNAcentral.
ACGGAAGGCAGCAGUGGGGGAUAUUGCACAAUGGGGGAAACCCUGAUGCAGCGACGCCGCGUGAGUGAUGAAGUAUUUCGGUAUGUAAAGCUCUAUCAGCAGGGAAGAAAAUGACGGUACCUGACUAAGAAGCACCGGCUAAAUACGUGCCAGCAGCCGCGGUAAUACGUAUGGUGCAAGCGUUAUCCGGAUUUACUGGGUGUAAAGGGAGCGUAGACGGCAUAGCAAGCCAGAUGUGAAAUGCGGGGGCUCAACCCCUGAACUGCAUUUGGAACUGUUAAGCUAGAGUAUCGGAGAGGUAAGUGGAAUUCCUAGUGUAGCGGUGAAAUGCGUAGAUAUUAGGAGGAACACCGGUGGCGAAGGCGACUUUCUGGACUGUAACUGACACUGAGGUACGAAAGCGUGGGGAGCAAACAGGAUUAGAUACCCUGGUA